CCUACGGGGUGCUGCAGUGGGGAAUAUUGGACAAUGGGCGAAAGCCUGAUCCAGCCAUGCCGCGUGUGUGAAGAAGGCCUUCGGGUUGUAAAGCACUUUCAGUGGGGAAGAAAGCCUUGGGGCUAAUACCCUCGAGGAAGGACAUCACCCACAGAAGAAGCACCGGCUAACUCCGUGCCAGCAGCCGCGGUAAUACGGAGGGUGCGAGCGUUAAUCGGAAUUACUGGGCGUAAAGCGCGCGUAGGCGGUCUGAUAAGCAGGUUGUGAAAGCCCCGGGCUCAACCUGGGAACGGCAUCCGGAACUGUCAGGCUAGAGUGCAGGAGAGGAAGGUAGAAUUCACGGUGUAGCGGUGAAAUGCGUAGAGAUCGGGAGGAAUACCAGUGGCGAAGGCGGCCUUCUGGACUGACACUGACGCUGAGGUGCGAAAGCGUGGGUAGCAAACAGGAUUAGAUACCCGAGUAGUC
This 465-nucleotide ribosomal RNA is filed under the name Vreelandella stevensii. RNAcentral's name for it is "partial 16S ribosomal RNA". It matches the Rfam family "Bacterial small subunit ribosomal RNA", at positions 338 to 795 of the family's 1533-position model. The record is from RNAcentral. Lineage: Bacteria; Pseudomonadati; Pseudomonadota; Gammaproteobacteria; Oceanospirillales; Halomonadaceae.